This 490-nucleotide ribosomal RNA is filed under the name uncultured bacterium. Its description in RNAcentral is "partial 16S ribosomal RNA". It matches the Rfam family "Bacterial small subunit ribosomal RNA", at positions 30 to 507 of the family's 1533-position model. The record is from RNAcentral.
AUUGAACGCUGGCGGCAGGCUUAACACAUGCAAGUCGAGCGGUAGCACAAGAGAGCUUGCUCUCUGGGUGACGAGCGGCGGACGGGUGAGUAAUGUCUGGGAAACUGCCUGAUGGAGGGGGAUAACUACUGGAAACGGUAGCUAAUACCGCAUAACGUCGCAAGACCAAAGAGGGGGACCUUCGGGCCUCUUGCCAUCAGAUGUGCCCAGAUGGGAUUAGCUAGUAGGUGGGGUAAUGGCUCACCUAGGCGACGAUCCCUAGCUGGUCUGAGAGGAUGACCAGCCACACUGGAACUGAGACACGGUCCAGACUCCUACGGGAGGCAGCAGUGGGGAAUAUUGCACAAUGGGCGCAAGCCUGAUGCAGCCAUGCCGCGUGUGUGAAGAAGGCCUUCGGGUUGUAAAGCACUUUCAGCGAGGAGGAAGGGGGUGAACUUAAUACGUUCAUCAAUUGACGUUACUCGCAGAAGAAGCACCGGCUAACUCCGUG